UGACCACAUUCAGCAAGGAGGGAAGAGGAUGGAAAGGGGGCACAUAGUAACUCGUUCGGCCCGUGAAUGCCCCCCUUGGUGCCGGCUCUGCUCUCUGGAGAAGUGAUCAGUCUUUGUUCUUGUAAGGCUUGUUCGCGGCUUGCUCUGGGACACAUUGCAAGACAUGACGGUGUGUGGAGAUCUGAAGUAGUGGAUCCAGCUGUUAUUAACACCUCUACUGGACUGCAGCUUCCACUCCUGUUGGAGAUGCAGAUGUGAUGGAGGCCAAGUGGAAAAGCAUGGUCAGCAAUGAAUGAUAGUGGAAUACUGCAGGUCACCAAAGGCUCUACGAGAACGCAGCACUGUCUUGUCUUCCUCUACACCUGCUUCCCGUUCCAGAUCCCUCCAGAGGAUCAACAAGAUGAAGCUGCUGGCGUGUAUCAAGCACAGCAUUCACUAUUUAACAUGUUAACAACACAUUAGUGUGAUACCCACACUGAAAGAUUGUUCAAUGUUUUUAAAUGGGUCAGAUGGUAUAUUUUUG
Molecule: long non-coding RNA, 523 nt
Organism: Labeo rohita (rohu)
Lineage: Eukaryota; Metazoa; Chordata; Actinopteri; Cypriniformes; Cyprinidae
Exons: 2
Source: RefSeq, a predicted model, not a curated record